AAUUGAUUCACACCUGCCUUUUGUUAGUCCUCGUUAUUUGUGUGUUUAAGUUCCUGCCUUUGUCCAUUGUGGAUGUUACUCUGCGUGAGAUGUUACUCUGUUUGUAGGUCUGCUUAUUUUCCUUGUCCAACUCCUGGUGUUGCUCAGAUUAUGAUUUUGCUUUGUCUUAAGUGAAUCAUCACCUUUUCCCCCCUGUGCCAUGAUGCCAUGUAACAACAAGCAUAUUUCUGUGAAAGCGUCAUUACUAAGGAAUGUCAUCACAGGAAAUUAAACGCAUGUUGGCAGAAGAUGUCCUGCGCAGACUACAACCUGUUUGACUUACUGCUUAACCAGAAGGUGCUCAGCCCUCCCUGCCUAGACAGCUUCCCCACCCUGAAGAGCUACGUUGACAAGAUAGCCGCCUGUCCGAAAAUCUAAGCAUUCAUGGAGUCUGAUAGCUUUAAGAAGCUGCCCAUCAACGGAAAACAGUGACGCACUGGUGGGAUGGAGCACUGGUGGGAUGGAGCACUGGUGGGGUACAUCUGUCACCAGGGCUACUAGCUACAAUCAUUAGCAGCUCAGGAGAGCAGAAGCCGAUGCUUCUGAUGUGUGAAGUCACUGUGUCAGUUUGGUCUUUGUGUGCAUCCAACAUUUUCCCUGACAG
Brienomyrus brachyistius is the source of this 643-nucleotide long non-coding RNA. RefSeq lists it as uncharacterized. The transcript is spliced from 2 exons. NCBI's taxonomy places the organism in Eukaryota, Metazoa, Chordata, Actinopteri, Osteoglossiformes, Mormyridae. The record is from RefSeq and is a predicted model, not a curated record.